GGGCUGCUUUGGGGCAGCAUAUGUCCUGGCAACCUUUUCAUGGGUCACUUUUGAUUUUUCAGGGGACCCACACAAGCCACCUCCUUUAUCUGUGUUUCACGUUGCCCUUCAUCCAUAACGCCAGUUAACCGUGGGUCGUCCUGCUCGUGCAAUCCAACAAGUACUUUGGAUUAAGAUAAAGCUUAUCCAUACGCGAUGCCCAUGAUGAGAAUCUUGUGAAGACGGAUGCAGUUUCUCUGGCCAACCAGAAGGACCUUGUGUGGAGCACAGGGGUGCGUGUGGGGCUCACUGCUAAUACGGAGCGCUUGCAGAGUCUCCGUGCUCACACUGGUCAGCACCGAGGCCACAAACCAUCCACAGUCUCCUGGCUAGGAUCCGAGCACAGCGGCUUCGACCCGAGCUUCAACAAGAGUCUACAUCUUGCUUCUCUUGGGGAUAACCCCGAAGGGGCCGUGUUUGGGGGAGGCAGGACCAGAUGUGAUUGGACCCGGAGCCGGACUCAGCUUCCUGAGUCGAGAGGGGAGCGAAGCUUCAGCCUGUUCCCUCCGCCCUCCGGAAGGCCCAGCGAGAAGACGGCCGACAGGUCCCAAAUCACACUGCUUCGCAGCUCCACCCUUCAGUGAGCCAGGAUGACCCACUUCCCCGGUUCAGAGCCACCCAGAGCCUUUCCUGGAGGGAGCACGGUGUGUUUUACCUGAACAGAACUUGACUCUCCCCAGUUGUAUCUCUCUGCAGCAUUCAUUUCUUUCCAUGUUUAUUUCUUAAAUCGUAAUAAAAUAUAGAUGACAUGACCA
Molecule: long non-coding RNA, 794 nt
Filed under: Ursus maritimus (polar bear)
Lineage: Eukaryota; Metazoa; Chordata; Mammalia; Carnivora; Ursidae
Description: lncRNA (ENSUMAG00000016119.1)
Source: RNAcentral